UUCAUUUGAAAGGGAGCACGACGUAUGUUGAAAAAUCAAAUAUUAAACAGCCGUGAGGGCCAAAUACCACUCAUUUGACUUAUUCUUUCUUUUGCUUUUGUUUUCAUUUUCUGUUGCGCCACUCGUUUUAUUCAUUUUUAUUCAGUUAUUUGACGACGACGACGACACUUCCUCACUAAUAUCUCGUUGUCGCUGAUAAUGACUUCACUCAGUAAGGGUAUUUUUUUAUUAUUUUUUUUUAUUUUUUAUGGGCUUUUCCUUUUUCCGUCGUUUGAUUCCAGAAGAAGAAACGUCCCCGGCACGAUGCAAUGAAGUUGCGGCAACAUCACGAGAAUUACUAUAUAACCUUGACGUAUGCAUUUAUUCGUACUGUUUCGUCCCUGCAUCAAGUCAGAUUGGUAGAUGAAAAAUAUUUAUAUGCCAUCAAGCUACCUGGGUAUUGCUUUCUGGAGAGAAUAAGUGAGCCAUUGUUUGCUCGUCUCUAACAGAAAGUCUGUUGAAACAGCUGUGAUACAUGCUGCUUGCUGAGAGAGGUUCAAAAACUCAGUACACACGAAAAAACUGAAAAACUGCAUCACUCCACGAACUCCUCUCCAUGCAUGCCGCCAUGCAUGCUUAAACGAACAAAGAUGCGUCAAGGGUCAAGGGCGACAUGAUUGGGAAAUAUACCGAAGUAAAUCGUGCUGACACGAACACACGUAUUUCCCCUCGUGCUCUUUUUAUUUUUUUUAUUCAUUUAUUUUAUUUAGAAUUUUUUUUUCUCUCUCUCUUACGUUUUGCCUCCGUACUGGCUUGCAUUCUGACUGUCUGGUGCAUGUGAUGAUUUAAACCCGUACAACAUUGCCUAUGCGACUACGGUCAAAAUGAGUACUGGCCACGGUCUGUUUAUAUUAAAGACUGAUAACCGAA
Molecule: long non-coding RNA, 909 nt
Organism: Orbicella faveolata
Lineage: Eukaryota; Metazoa; Cnidaria; Anthozoa; Scleractinia; Merulinidae
Source: RefSeq, a predicted model, not a curated record